This 538-nucleotide ribosomal RNA is filed under the name Cladosporium sp. RNAcentral describes it as "eukaryotic LSU rRNA". The stretch from base 172 to 325 matches the Rfam family "5.8S ribosomal RNA". Lineage: Eukaryota; Fungi; Ascomycota; Dothideomycetes; Cladosporiales; Cladosporiaceae. The record is from RNAcentral.
GCGGANGGAACAUUCAGAUGACCCCGGUCUAACCACCGGGUAUGUUCAUAACCCUUUGUUGUCCNCCUNUGNUGCCUCCGGGGCGACCCUGCCUUCGGGCGGGGGCUCCGGGUGGACACUUCAAACUCUUGCGUAACUUUGCAGUCUGAGUAAACUUAAUUAAUAAAUUAAAACUUUUAACAACGGAUCUCUUGGUUCUGGCAUCGAUGAAGAACGCAGCGAAAUGCGAUAAGUAAUGUGAAUUGCAGAAUUCAGUGAAUCAUCGAAUCUUUGAACGCACAUUGCGCCCCCUGGUAUUCCGGGGGGCAUGCCUGUUCGAGCGUCAUUUCACCACUCAAGCCUCGCUUGGUAUUGGGCAACGCGGUCCGCCGCGUGCCUCAAAUCGACCGGCUGGGUCUUCUGUCCCCUAAGCGUUGUGGAAACUAUUCGCUAAAGGGUGUUCGGGAGGCUACGCCGUAAAACAACCCCAUUUCUAAGGUUGACCUCGGAUCAGGUAGGGAUACCCGCUGAACUUAAGCAUAUCAAUAAGCGGAGGAAC